GAUGAAGAACGUAGCGAAAUGCGAAAAGUAAUGUGAAUUGCAGAAUUCCGUGAAUCAUCGAAUCUUUGAACGCACAUUGCGCCCCCUGGUAUUCCGGGGGGCAUGCCUGUUCGAGCGUCAUUUCACCACUCAAGCCUCGCUUGGUAUUGGGCAACGCGGUCCGCCGCGUGCCUCAAAUCGACCGGCUGGGUCUUCUGUCCCCUAAGCGUUGUGGAAACUAUUCGCUAAAGGGUGUUCGGGAGGCUACGCCGUAAAACAACCCCAUUUCUAAGGUUGACCUCGGAUCAGGUAGGGAUACCCGCUGAACUUAAGCAUAUCAAUAAGCGGAGGA
This 331-nucleotide unclassified non-coding RNA is filed under the name soil metagenome. Its description in RNAcentral is "partial contains 5.8S ribosomal RNA, internal transcribed spacer 2, and large subunit ribosomal RNA". The stretch from base 1 to 120 matches the Rfam family "5.8S ribosomal RNA", at positions 35 to 154 of the family's 154-position model. The record is from RNAcentral.